This 107-nucleotide small nuclear RNA is filed under the name Sus scrofa (pig). Lineage: Eukaryota; Metazoa; Chordata; Mammalia; Artiodactyla; Suidae. The record is from RNAcentral.
GUGCUCGCUUUGGCAGCACACAUACUAAAAUUGGAACGAUACAGAGAAGAUUAGCAUGGUCCCUGCGCAAGGAGGACAUGCAAAUUCGUGAAGCAUUCCCUAUUUUG